UACGGUAGGGACCAAGCGUUGUUCGGAUUUACUGGGCGUAAAGGCGCGUAGGCGGCAAUUCAAGUCAGCUGUGAAAUCUCCGGGCUUAACUCGGAACGGUCAGCUGAUACUGCUUUGCUAGAGUGCAGAAGGGGCAAUCGGAAUUCUUGGUGUAGCGGUGAAAUGCGUAGAUAUCAAGAGGAACACCUGAGGUGAAGACGGGUUGCUGGGCUGACACUGACGCUGAGGCGCGAAAGCUAGGGUAGCAAACGGG
RNAcentral lists this ribosomal RNA (253 nucleotides) under uncultured bacterium. RNAcentral's name for it is "partial 16S ribosomal RNA". It matches the Rfam family "Bacterial small subunit ribosomal RNA", at positions 524 to 776 of the family's 1533-position model. The record is from RNAcentral.